UACAGAGGUCUCAAGCGUUGUUCGGAUUCAUUGGGCGUAAAGGGUGCGUAGGCGGCGCGGUAAGUCGGGUGUGAAAUCUCGGAGCUUAACUCCGAAACUGCAUUCGAUACUGCCGUGCUUGAGGACUGGAGAGGAGACUGGAAUUUACGGUGUAGCGGUGAAAUGCGCAGAUAUCUGGAGGAAUACCGGUGGCGAAGGCGGCAUCCUGGACCGGCAUUGACGCUGAGUGAGCGAAAGCUAGGGGAGCAAACGGG
This 254-nucleotide ribosomal RNA is filed under the name uncultured bacterium. RNAcentral's name for it is "partial 16S ribosomal RNA". It matches the Rfam family "Bacterial small subunit ribosomal RNA", at positions 524 to 776 of the family's 1533-position model. The record is from RNAcentral.